Molecule: ribosomal RNA, 253 nt
Filed under: uncultured bacterium
Lineage: Bacteria
Description: partial 16S ribosomal RNA
Rfam family: Bacterial small subunit ribosomal RNA
Source: RNAcentral
UACAGAGGGUGCGAGCGUUAAUCGGAAUUACUGGGCGUAAAGCGCGCGUAGACGGUUUUGUAAGUCAGAUGUGAAAUCCCUGGGCUCAACCUGGGAACUGCAUUUGAGACUGCAUGGCUAGAGUAUGGAAGAGGGAAGUGGAAUUUCCGGUGUAGCGGUGAAAUGCGUAGAUAUCGGAAGGAACACCAGUGGCGAAGGCGACUUCCUGGACCGUUACUGACACUGAGGCGCGAAAGCGUGGGGAGCAAACGGG